Molecule: ribosomal RNA, 1489 nt
Filed under: Lactiplantibacillus plantarum
Lineage: Bacteria; Bacillati; Bacillota; Bacilli; Lactobacillales; Lactobacillaceae
Description: bacterial SSU rRNA
Rfam family: Bacterial small subunit ribosomal RNA
Source: RNAcentral
GACGAACGCUGGCGGCGUGCCUAAUACAUGCAAGUCGAACGAACUCUGGUAUUGAUUGGUGCUUGCAUCAUGAUUUACAUUUGAGUGAGUGGCGAACUGGUGAGUAACACGUGGGAAACCUGCCCAGAAGCGGGGGAUAACACCUGGAAACAGAUGCUAAUACCGCAUAACAACUUGGACCGCAUGGUCCGAGCUUGAAAGAUGGCUUCGGCUAUCACUUUUGGAUGGUCCCGCGGCGUAUUAGCUAGAUGGUGGGGUAACGGCUCACCAUGGCAAUGAUACGUAGCCGACCUGAGAGGGUAAUCGGCCACAUUGGGACUGAGACACGGCCCAAACUCCUACGGGAGGCAGCAGUAGGGAAUCUUCCACAAUGGACGAAAGUCUGAUGGAGCAACGCCGCGUGAGUGAAGAAGGGUUUCGGCUCGUAAAACUCUGUUGUUAAAGAAGAACAUAUCUGAGAGUAACUGUUCAGGUAUUGACGGUAUUUAACCAGAAAGCCACGGCUAACUACGUGCCAGCAGCCGCGGUAAUACGUAGGUGGCAAGCGUUGUCCGGAUUUAUUGGGCGUAAAGCGAGCGCAGGCGGUUUUUUAAGUCUGAUGUGAAAGCCUUCGGCUCAACCGAAGAAGUGCAUCGGAAACUGGGAAACUUGAGUGCAGAAGAGGACAGUGGAACUCCAUGUGUAGCGGUGAAAUGCGUAGAUAUAUGGAAGAACACCAGUGGCGAAGGCGGCUGUCUGGUCUGUAACUGACGCUGAGGCUCGAAAGUAUGGGUAGCAAACUGGAUUAGAUACCCUGGUAGUCCAUACCGUAAACGAUGAAUGCUAAGUGUUGGAGGGUUUCCGCCCUUCAGUGCUGCAGCUAACGCAUUAAGCAUUCCGCCUGGGGAGUACGGCCGCAAGGCUGAAACUCAAAGGAAUUGACGGGGGCCCGCACAAGCGGUGGAGCAUGUGGUUUAAUUCGAAGCUACGCGAAGAACCUUACCAGGUCUUGACAUACUAUGCAAAUCUAAGAGAUUAGACGUUCCCUUCGGGGACAUGGAUACAGGUGGUGCAUGGUUGUCGUCAGCUCGUGUCGUGAGAUGUUGGGUUAAGUCCCGCAACGAGCGCAACCCUUAUUAUCAGUUGCCAGCAUUAAGUUGGGCACUCUGGUGAGACUGCCGGUGACAAACCGGAGGAAGGUGGGGAUGACGUCAAAUCAUCAUGCCCCUUAUGACCUGGGCUACACACGUGCUACAAUGGAUGGUACAACGAGUUGCGAACUCGCGAGAGUAAGCUAAUCUCUUAAAGCCAUUCUCAGUUCGGAUUGUAGGCUGCAACUCGCCUACAUGAAGUCGGAAUCGCUAGUAAUCGCGGAUCAGCAUGCCGCGGUGAAUACGUUCCCGGGCCUUGUACACACCGCCCGUCACACCAUGAGAGUUUGUAACACCCAAAGUCGGUGGGGUAACCUUUUAGGAACCAGCCGCCUAAGGUGGGACAGAUGAUUAGGGUG